Molecule: non-coding RNA, 152 nt
Organism: Arachis ipaensis
Lineage: Eukaryota; Viridiplantae; Streptophyta; Magnoliopsida; Fabales; Fabaceae
Source: RefSeq, a predicted model, not a curated record
CACUUAUAUAAUUUUAUAUUUUUUAAAUUAUGACCGGGUCAACCGAGUGAAUCAGUGAUCCACCGGUUGAACCAGUGACCCAGUGAUCCGGUCAUAUGACCGGGUGGAUUGCCAGUUCGGUUCUGAUAACUAUGAGUUAGUCUUUAGUUCAA